Molecule: ribosomal RNA, 465 nt
Filed under: Vreelandella stevensii
Lineage: Bacteria; Pseudomonadati; Pseudomonadota; Gammaproteobacteria; Oceanospirillales; Halomonadaceae
Description: partial 16S ribosomal RNA
Rfam family: Bacterial small subunit ribosomal RNA
Source: RNAcentral
CCUACGGGCGGCAGCAGUGGGGAAUAUUGGACAAUGGGGGGAACCCUGAUCCAGCCAUGCUGCGUGUGUGAAGAAGGCCCUCGGGUUGUAAAGCACUUUCAGUGAGGAAGAACGCCUGGUGGUUAAUACCCAUCAGGAAAGACAUCACUCACAGAAGAAGCACCGGCUAACUCCGUGCCAGCAGCCGCGGUAAUACGGAGGGUGCGAGCGUUAAUCGGAAUUACUGGGCGUAAAGCGCGCGUAGGUGGCUUGAUAAGCCGGUUGUGAAAGCCCCGGGCUCAACCUGGGAACGGCAUCCGGAACUGUCAAGCUAGAGUGCAGGAGAGGAAGGUAGAAUUCCCGGAGUAGCGGUGAAAUGCGUAGAGAUCGGGAGGAAUACCAGUGGCGAAGGCGGCCUUCUGGACUGACACUGACACUGAGGUGCGAAAGCGUGGGUAGCAAACAGGAUUAGAUACCCGUGUAGUC